Molecule: ribosomal RNA, 468 nt
Filed under: uncultured bacterium
Lineage: Bacteria
Description: partial 16S ribosomal RNA
Rfam family: Bacterial small subunit ribosomal RNA
Source: RNAcentral
GACGAACGCUGGCGGCGUGCUUAACACAUGCAAGUCGAACGGAAAGGCCCUGCUUUUGUGGGGUGCUCGAGUGGCGAACGGGUGAGUAACACGUGAGUAACCUGCCCUUGACUUUGGGAUAACUUCAGGAAACUGGGGCUCAUACCGGAUAGGAGCCCCUGCUGCAUGGUGGGGGUUGGACAGUUUCGGCGGUUGGGGAUGGACUCGCGGCUUAUCAGCUUGUUGGUGGGGUAGUGGCUUACCAAGGCUUUGACGGGUAGCCGGCCUGAGAGGGUGACCGGCCACAUUGGGACUGAGAUACGGCCCAGACUCCUACGGGAGGCAGCAGUGGGGAAUAUUGCACAAUGGGCGGAAGCCUGAUGCAGCAACGCCGCGUGCGGGAUGACGGCCUUCGGGUUGUAAACCGCUUUCGCCUGUGACGAAGCGUGAGUGACGGUAAUGGGUAAAGAAGCACCGGCUAACUACGUG